This 1370-nucleotide ribosomal RNA is filed under the name uncultured bacterium. RNAcentral describes it as "16S ribosomal RNA". It matches the Rfam family "Bacterial small subunit ribosomal RNA". The record is from RNAcentral.
AGAGUUUGAUUCUGGCUCAGGACGAACGCUGGCGGCGCGCCUAACACAUGCAAGUCGAACGAGCGAGAGAGAGCUUGCUUUCUCGAGCGAGUGGCGAACGGGUGAGUAACGCGUGAGGAACCUGCCUCAAAGAGGGGGACAACAGUUGGAAACGACUGCUAAUACCGCAUAAGCCCACGGGUCGGCAUCGACCAGAGGGAAAAGGAGCAAUCCGCUUUGAGAUGGCCUCGCGUCCGAUUAGCUAGUUGGUGAGGUAAUGGCCCACCAAGGCAACGAUCGGUAGCCGGACUGAGAGGUUGAACGGCCACAUUGGGACUGAGACACGGCCCAGACUCCUACGGGAGGCAGCAGUGGGGAAUAUUGCACAAUGGGGGAAACCCUGAUGCAGCGACGCCGCGUGGAGGAAGAAGGUCUUCGGAUUGUAAACUCCUGUUGUUGAGGAAGAUAAUGACGGUACUCAACAAGGAAGUGACGGCUAACUACGUGCCAGCAGCCGCGGUAAAACGUAGGUCACAAGCGUUGUCCGGAAUUACUGGGUGUAAAGGGAGCGCAGGCGGGAGGACAAGUUGGAAGUGAAAUCUAUGGGCUCAACCCAUAAACUGCUUUCAAAACUGUUUUUCUUGAGUAGUGCAGAGGUAGGCGGAAUUCCCGGUGUAGCGGUGGAAUGCGUAGAUAUCGGGAGGAACACCAGUGGCGAAGGCGGCCUACUGGGCACCAACUGACGCUGAGGCUCGAAAGUGUGGGUAGCAAACAGGAUUAGAUACCCUGGUAGUCCACACCGUAAACGAUGAUUACUAGGUGUUGGAGGAGUGACCCCCUCAGUGCCGCAGUUAACACAAUAAGUAAUCCACCUGGGGAGUACGACCGCAAGGUUGAAACUCAAAGGAAUUGACGGGGGCCCGCACAAGCAGUGGAGUAUGUGGUUUAAUUCGACGCAACGCGAAGAACCUUACCAAGUCUUGACAUCCUGCGACGAUGCUGGAAACAGUAUUUUCCUUCGGGACGCAGAGACAGGUGGUGCAUGGUUGUCGUCAGCUCGUGUCGUGAGAUGUUGGGUUAAGUCCCGCAACGAGCGCAACCCUUACUGUCAGUUACUACGCAAGAGGACUCUGGCAGGACUGCCGUUGACAAAACGGAGGAAGGUGGGGAGGACGUCAAAUCAUCAUGCCCUUUAUGACUUGGGCUACACACGUACUACAAUGGCGUUAAACAAAGAGAAGCAAGACCGCGAGGUGGAGCAAAACUCAGAAACAACGUCCCAGUUCGGACUGCAGGCUGCAACUCGCCUGCACGAAGUCGGAAUUGCUAGUAAUCGUGGAUCAGCAUGCCACGGUGAAUAAAAGGCCGGGCCUUGCACUCUCCGCCCGUCA